Long non-coding RNA from Pangasianodon hypophthalmus (striped catfish), 12158 nucleotides. RefSeq lists it as uncharacterized. The transcript has 3 exons. NCBI's taxonomy places the organism in Eukaryota, Metazoa, Chordata, Actinopteri, Siluriformes, Pangasiidae. The record is from RefSeq and is a predicted model, not a curated record.
UGGAAACACUGGAAGCAGAUUUAAGCUAAAGGUUUCCUGGAUCCUUCUGUUUAUUUAAUGCACUAUUGCUUUGGACUUGUAUGCAUUGUAAAAGGCUACUGCGAGUGUAUGCAUUGUAAAAGGCGACUGCGAGUGUAUGCAUUGUAAAAGGCUACUGCGAGUGUAUGCAUUGUAAAAGGGUACUGCGAUGCUGCAAGGAAGUGCCAAGUAGUUUGUUAAAAAAAGAAAAGAAAGAAAAAAGAGCUUGUCUGGCAGUUUGACACACACAGCUAGGAGGACAGGUUAAAAAUAUAAUUACCCAUGUUUUUGAACCUGCACACCUGGAAUGUACCACAAGAAGUUUAAUGAAAGUCUAUGUUGAUUGAAUAGUCAGUCUACCCAGUACUGUGCACUGGACCUGGAGCUUGUAAAGGGCUCAGUGGAGAGAAAGAGAUGGAGUGUCUAAAGGUUAUUUCAUAAAAAAGGUUAUUUUAUAAUAAAAUGUAUUCAUUAUAAAGACAUUAUAGUCAUUAUAGUAAUUCUAAAAUGCCCAAUUUCCUUCUAAUGCUUUGUCUGUGUUACUGACAAAAAUAACAGAUCACCCUGCCAAGACAGACAAAAAGAGAGAGAUUAUUACCACAGAUUUCAAAGGGGGUGGAUUAGCAAGACAACAGCCACCAAGACAUUUCUUUCUGAAAUACAUCAUGUAGGUUUUGUGAGAGGAAAGGGGAGCGCUUUCCUUUUUUUAUAUAAACAAGUGUGAUCUCAGUUUCCAUUCUUUCCAAUGGAAAAUUGUGAGGGUUUCAUUAAACAUGGACAAUUCCUUAUUUCUGCAGCAACCAGUAAGAAAUACAGCUUUGUUUCAGAUCUGUGCAGACAGCGAUCACAUGUCAAGGAAAAACUCCACUCUGAAACACAUGAAACAUAUUUAUAUUGAAAUUCAUGAUGUGUUUAGUGACUCUGGUGCUAAUUUUUUUGGUUGAUGUAUUUUUGUUAUUCCAGUAAGAAGUUAGCGGUUGUCUGCUGCGCUGAUAUCACAUUACUAGCACAGUGGCAAUAGCGUGUAAUAGGAAAAAAAUUGAAAAAAACUCAAACUUAAGUGAUAAUAGAUUUCACAUUUCAGUGUUAACUCCUAAAAACAAAAGAUUAAGAGCUUCUUUUCUCACUCGCCAUUUACCAGCAAUGUUCAAUGUCAUAUUAAGAGUUCCAGAAUGCAAUGCAGUUUUAUGAAGCAGUUAUGCUGAUUUACGGCAGAGACUCGGCUCAGCUAGAUAGAGUUCUGUAAGAUGAGAAGCAUGAUGGCAUUUUCGGUGGCAUUAGCCUGAAAGGUUUUGUAAGCUGAAAUGUAUUAGAAGAGUGUACAAACGAGGUGAGAGAGCUGGACAGACUAAAGGACUAAGGUGCUGCUGCAUUGGCUGCGUUAGGUAGAGAUUAAUCGAGGACUAAUGCUGCGCUCAUGACCAGGUGGCAACUGGGAAAUUUGCAACUUUCCAGUAGGAAAGAUCUGUUUGAAUGGCUUUCGAGAGUUUUUCGAGAGCUCCCACUUCUCUGACUUGCUAAUUUGUGAUGUCAUUUCAACAUGGCGGUGCACAUAAGGAAAAGUAAGAACAGGAAUUAACAUGAUUUACGUUUUUGAGCAGUCUCUUGAGCUUCAGUUUAUAUUUGAAAUCGCUAAAUACUGGUUGAUACUUUGAUAACUGAAAUGUUAAUUCACUUUUUUGCAAGAUUUUUUUUUAUCAAACUGCCCUAUCCUGUCAUUUUUGGCAAUACCAACAGUGAAUUAUCACAAGCAAUUUCUAAAAUAAAUUAAGCACUAACCAAACAACUCUUUAAUUUCCGUUUUUAUAGACAGUAUACAGUUUUAUGGACAGUAUUCAUUUUAUUUCCGACUUCAGACAGCUGAGUUUGUGUGAAUGCUCUAAUGUGGGAAGUAGGAGGUUCCCAGUUGUCUUGAGCACAGCAUAAAUCUCACUGUUGCCGAAUGGUUGAAUGAAUGUUGAAUUAAUAUUUUGGACUAACCUGUCAAUGAAAGAAUUUUCAACCAAAAAAGUCAUCUCAGAAUUUAAUCAUAAAAUAAAUCUUCUGCAGCACUGAAGACAACAUAUUGAUUAUGCAUAUUGAUAUGCACGUCAUUCAAGGUGGCUUUUGCUGGCAAUAGCGGAGAAUUUUCCAAGUGUGCUCUCCCUUUGUGUGGCCCAGACCUGUAACACUUUUAUGGAGCCGUUUUGAAAUGUAUCAUAUAAACAAAGCACACAUGAGAUGCUUUUGGGAUGCUUAAUUUAAACAUGUAAACCUUGACUUCCACAAAUUAUAUAAUUUGCACUUUUAGAUCUGCAAUAUACUGUCGAGUUUAAACUGCUUAUUUUUAUUACAUUUACAGCAUUUUAUAGACACCUUUAUCCAGAGUGACUUACAGAAGUCCUUUGGAGUCUAUCAAAAACACACCCCCAUCAUGCUAGUUCACUAGGUCAGGGACUAAGAAUAACAUAAAGAACAUUUUAUGAAAUCUGUUCGUUUUAUUAUUGGCAUUAAUUAGAGAAUUCAUUUUUACACUAUUAAAUAUUUUUACUGGCUUAGAAGUGAGUCAAAAUAAAGUCCACUUCUGCCUUUUAUUAUUAGUAGGCAUUUCGUGCUUCCAGCUAUCUGUGCACUUGACCUUAUAUGGAGUUUUGUGGGCAUCACUAAAUGCAAAUGAACUGUGCUGGGAACACAUUUUGUACUUUACAAGUGAUCAACAUAUGUACACGAGUAUGAAGAAAUUCAGCAUAUCCAAAACUUUGGUAAAUCCAGCAGAAGAUAUUAGUUUGGUUUGGCUUAUGUGAACAUUUACACGCAACUUUACUAAAAGACUGAUAAAUGAGGCCUAUUGUUCUUUGCAAAUGCAAAAUAUGACUGUUAAACGAACACAACAGUGUUCUGCUAACGUAAAACAUAUACUUGCUUUUUAAUACAUCCGAUGUAACAGACAAAUAUGUUUUACCAGCAGGAAAAGUUAGCAGUGAAAUAACGCAUGCAUCUAUGAAUUCUGUAUCACAUUUUGCAAGCAAAUACAUGUUCUACAAAUGGCAAUUUAAAAAAAAAAUCAGUUUUUGCAAAUCAUGUUCAUUUCGGCAUGAUAUUUUUACGACUUAUAAAGUUUUUCUCACACGCAGCAACAUUUGCCUCCUCAGCACCAGAUGGCACCAUGUGUCUAUUUACACAUAGUUUGUGAGUAGUGUUUAUAAAACAUAAUGUUCAUAUGUUUAUACGGAUAUAGGUUUUGGAACUAAAUUGACUCCAUACACUUUUCAUUCCAUAAACCACAAUGGACUUGGUCUGACUGUCAAUAAUGGACUUAACCUCUUCUAAAUAGUGAUAAAGCAACAUUCUCUCCAAGCAUACUCCCAAAGAAAAUAUUUGCAGCCGAUAUUUUCAAUUUUCAUUUUGCAUACUUAGCCAGAGACGAGCUUCUGCAUUUAAAGAUUGCAAACUGGCGCAAGUUGAUUUACUAACAGGGUCUACAUAGGACUGCUUCCUUCUUAUGGGCAAAAUAACAUGUCUGUUUUGCAAAUUUACCUUAAUGAAUAUGUAAUUUAGAGUGUUUCUGCCUAUAGAUGCAUUAUACAGGGUAGGAUCUAUGCAAAAAGAUUCAUCUAGCACUCAAAUGUCACUUGCUGCAGCCUGAAAAUCACUUCAGGAAUGGCAAUUAUGUGUGCUAGGAAAUAUGAAUGAAGAGCAGGUAUUAUAAUUGCAUAAGUUAAUUUUGCCAUUUGAAGAAAAAAAAAAAACAACUUUCUGUCAUUAAAAUUAUGUCUGUAUCUCAAAAUAAUACAAAAGCUAAAAUAUUGGUAAAAUAUUUUGCUGCACGUUUACACCUCGCUGCACAUUCACACCUCCAAUGCCAACAGCGUUUAAAGAAAACAAAAAGGUUUUCUUUACAUUUCCUUAUGAAUUAAACAUCCAUAUACUGUAUAUACAGUCUUAUUUUGUGUUCAUAUCCUAUCAUCACUUUUGACAUGUAACAGCUCUGUGGUAUAACUGUUGAGUAAUUAUAAUUACUCCCUCUGCAGGGUCACUGGCCUUUGGUUAGUGCAAUAAAGUCAGUGAAAUGGCCACAAUUAGAAACUAAACACACCAGACUCUCUAGCGAUAGCUAAAAAUCUGACUUGCAAGAAUGGUGAGUGUGUGUAAAGAAUAGGGACGCAAUGAAUAGGAGGCGUACUAUUCUAGUUGAGACCAAUUAUGAACUGGAAUUAUGUAGCUGAGGUUGAGGAACUGUCAGAGCCAGAAUUCACACACCAUACUGACAGUGCUGGCAUUUCUAUCCAUGGGAUUCUUCUAGGGUUUCCCAGUAUUUCAACGCACAUUGUGGUAAGGUUCUUUAAAAAAACAAAAAAAAAAAAAACACCCUUCUGUGUUAGACCAUGCCCACUUCAUGUUUAAAUAAAGAUACAGAGGUGUAGACUAGGAUUAUUUAACAGAUAUUGACACAAACAAAUAAUGGAAAUGUGAUGCAAUAAACUCCUAAUAAAAAAGCAGAACAAAGAGCAAGUCAGCCCGGGAGUUAGCGGGCUAAAAAACUGAAAAUAUUAACUGACUUUACUCGAAAAGUUCGGCUGUAAUCAUGUUAGUCAGAGUAAGCUGGGGAGAGACAGCUUGUCAUAGAUGGCAGACAGCCUGAGUGACUGGGCUAAUUAAAUAUAGUGAGAACAGGCUGUUCAGUUUGCAGUAGUCUUCUGUGUCAGUCCAUGCUGGAGUAGAGAGAGGAAUGAGUGUGUAGCGCAUUAACAUCGCUGAACGUGAAUAGCUCUAGCUAAAUGUAGUCAUCUGGAAUUGAAAUAAGAGGAGGGUGGGGCAUUAAAUCACUGAAAACUGCUUUUGCUGCAAGCUGCUAACACUUGCACCGCCCUUCAAAACAAGGGCCUGCAGCCAAUUCACUAUCAGCAUAGCAAAAACAACAGCUACAUGAGUGGAAACAAAGCCACCCACACACGCUGUGCUGAGUGUUUGAACACAUAUUGGAGAUUAAUUCAGGGAAUCGGACAGCAGCAGUCGCUUACCCUCUGCUCCUGGCAGGACACAAACGUCUGAAAGCCUGGCGCCACUCCGAAUCCCAGCUGAUCAAUGAAAGGCGGCUCGUCCUGAGUGUGGAUCUGCACUUUGAUGCCGGCUUCAAAAGACGUCUCAUCUGGAGAGGAAAAGAAGUGAUUCAGAUAUGAUAGAGAGUGAUCCCCUGUACAUGGUGGAAUUAACGAUUUAGGAUCCUGUUUCUGCUGACGGAUGUGGAAAUGUGCCAGAAAAGCUUGGAGGGGUACAAGACGGCUCUGAGGAAAUCGAUACAGGAACAAAGAUGGCCCGGAGGGACCCUGUUAUGCUCAGUGAUGGUUUCAUCAUGAAGAAAUCGAUGGCAGUGACGCUAUUGACAGGCAGAGUGCUGGGAGUCACAGAUAUUUCUGACAGAGGACUCAAUGAUGUAAUGGCGAGCAAUGUGGUGGGAUAGUCUCACAAGGCGAAAGGUGCACUAUUCAUUUGUCAAUGUCAUGAUGGUGGGAAAGAGCCAACUCCCAUCUCUACGACACUACCUUUCCUUAUCCUCCUUCUCUCUCUUAAUUCACUGAAUUGGCUCUGAGCCACAAUGACUGCUGACUAGUCACAAUGACUACAAUAAAAUCACUUAGGUUGCACAGAUUGAUGUUCCAAUAUCAUGUUUUCACAUCAGAAAUUCUGUCUUAUGUUUCACCAUGGCUUCUGAUGUUGCAAUAUUGUUAUUUAAAAGAUAAUACCUGCUGAAAAGAAUAACUAGACCUAAUGUUUUCACAAUACUGAGUAAAGUACAUUUUAUGUCUUUUUUUUUUUUUGUCUCAGUGCAUGAUAAAUACUGACAAUGUAACGAUUUUAUGGAAAUGUCAUUACUUCGUAUCUUGUGGAAAAAGAGUUUUGCAUAAAGACACUCCAGGAAGCUUUCACUCUUUUCUAUUGUCUCAUGCUAAAACCAAACUGAAACCAAACUGAGUUUAAAACACAGAUUUGAAAAGGACUUGUCAGAGGAGCGACGCUUCCAAGGGACGGUAAGUUAUCGAGUUCUCAGCACCUGUAUAACCUACUGUACAUGUUAUGGUCAUGUGACCUAUUGUUGAUCACUCACACUACAACAAGCACUUAAUGAAUCAACAAUAAUGAAUUGCGUAUUUAAAAUGAGGUGUAUGUAGUAUGCACAGAAUUGUGAAGACACUCCUAUAUAUACGAUUUAUACAAAGAUCACUUAUCCCGUACAAACGAAUCAUAAUUACUACAGACUUCCACCAGCAGCAUUACUUAUGAAACAUGCACUAUAUGGCCAAAAGUAUGUGGACACCUGACCAUCAAGAACCAUUAUAUGUGGUUCUUCCCCAAACUGUUGCCACAAAGUUUGAAGCACACUGGAAUGUCAUUGUAUGCUGCAGCAUUAAGAUUUCCUCUCAAUGGAACUAAGAGACCCAAACCUAUUCCAGUAUGACAAUGUCUCUGUGCAUAAAGUGAGCUCCAUGAUGACAUGGUCUGCCAAGGUUGGAGUGGAAGAACUCGAGUGGCCUGCACAGAGCCCCAUUCAACCCCACUGAACACUUUCAGAAUAAACUUGAAAGCCGACUGUGCGCUAGGUCCUCUCGCAUCUUUCCUGACCUCACUAAUGCUCUUGUGGCUGAAUGAGCACAAAUCUCCACAGCUACAUUCCAAAAUCUAGUGGAAAGCCUUCACAGAAGAUUGGAGGUUAUUAUAACAGCAAAGAAGGGACUAAAUCUGGAAUGGGAUGUUCAACAGGCAUAUACGAGUGUGAUGGCCAGGUAUCCACACAUUUUUAGCCAUAUAGUGCACAGUCUCCUGCUUUAGUGAAAUGAUGCAAUUUUUAAUGCCAUUUCUGUCCUCCUUUAACUUGUUUGCCCCUCUGCAUACCCACUUCAGUCUCAAGGGCAGUAUAUGAUAGUAAUGAAUGAGCAGUAAUGGCACUAAACAGCAAGAUGGGCAUUAAAUUCAUAGACAGUGUGCCAGAAAAAGAGAUACAGCUUGCAUACACACGACUAGGGACCAUGCCUUAAGCCAUAAAAUGAAAGACUGUGAUAAAUACAGUUAUAUGAAUAAUAACAAUACGUUUAUGUCCCCUUCCUGCCAGGGGUAAUGAAGCCAAUCAGAGCUCAUAAUCACGAUGGCAGAAAUGCUUAGGAAUGCACUUUUAAUCAUUUAAAAUCAAUGCAAAGUCUACAGUGCCAAUUAUUCUGCUACUUUAGAUAUUAGCUCCUUGUAAAAGCCAUCUGCAGGACUCUGGUCUCUUCAGAAAUAACGAAUUAGAGGCGUAUCAGUGGAUAAAUUGAUCCCUGUGGACUCCAUGUCUUAGUACUUUUUAAGAGAGAACUUUCACACAAGGUUGUAUUACUUAUUCCUGCAAUGGGUACAGUCUUUAUGCUAACCGCAUUCAUCUGCAGGCAGUGAAUCACAGCCCUAUGACAGCAAAGAAGCUUUAUACUGUGCCAUGAGAAGUCCACAUAAAAUGAUUAAGACGCCAUUCAUUCCAUCUAAAGCUCUAAAUCUUACGUACAUGUGACCAGAAUUAUCAAUGAUGUAAUUAUCCAGAGAUGCUUAAAUGCAGUACUGCUCUCCAUUCUGUGUAAUAGCUAAUUACUUUAGAUAAUAGAAGCCUUAUAAUCCACAUUUAAUUGUACUAUAUGUAAGGAAUAAAACAUGGGGACAUGCUGUUUUAUAUAUAGGAAAAUAAUCAACGACAAAGUGGGGUGAUGUGGACUGACGCAAAGCCUGAAUUUAAGUACUUUACUAUAACAGUAUGUCCCCAAGUGUUUUAUUCCUCUUAUACAACAGUAAUUUGCCAAUGAUUAAAAUGUUUUAUUUAUUAAUGAAUGAUGUGUCUUUUUUUAUCAGUAUAUAGUUUAAUGUUUAAUAUAGACUAAUAUAGCUUAAUGUUUAACAUUUAAUGCUGUGGGGUGUCUGGAAAACUUAUGUUAUAGUAGGUAUACAGUCAUUCCCAACAGUUGUUCCCACUUUUCUCUUGAAUUUUUUAAGACAAAAAAAAAAAAAAAAAGGGCAGUUUUUCAGGUUAGAGCGAAACCAGAAAGUGCAAUGUUCUCUGUCCUGAAGACUCCACCAUGACAGAAAGAUUACUGACUGUUACACAUGUUUGUCACUGGACACCACUUCAAUAAUGUUAAAUAAACAUCUUCUGACAGAAAACUUCACUAUAUGAACAAAUUAUAUGUUUUUCUUUGUUAAAUAACACAUUUUUAAAAUAUGUUUAUUAGACCUAGAUUAUGUAGAACAACCACUAAGUCCAUGUCAAUUAGCUGUUACUAUAGGAAAAAUAAAAUAUUAGAAUGAACUAACUAAUAAUAUAAAUCUGUGCUUUGAAUUACAGUUGGUUACUGUCUGAGUUGCUGUUAUAGAAAUUAAUCAACACCUUCGGACCAAUCAAAAUCAAGACUUCAACAGCAUUAUGGUGUAAUACCGUAUAACAAAUAUAUCAAAACAGACCGGAUGCUUAAUUGCAGAUCUUGUGCUUAAUGCUUAAUGCUUCUUGUAAAACAAAUUGUGUAAAAAAAUUGUGUAAAAUAUUUUAAAAUGUUUGAAUAAAUAGUUUGAACAUUCAAAUAAGUCUCAUGUAAUGGAGGCGAAGGCGGAUGCAUGUGCAGAUUAGAGUUUUAAUGAGAAAACUAACAACACAGACAACAUAAACUUAGACACAGAAAAACAUGAACUAGGAUUUUGAGGCAGAGAACCAUAAAUGGAACAUAAAGAACAUAAUGAAACCACUUAACAGCAACGGAAGACAAAAGCUAGACAAUAAGUGUGGUGCAAGAUGUGACUUAAAUACUAGUGCUCAUUAGUAUAAAUGUGGCACCAGUGCAGGCAGUCAUGGGACAUGAUCGUGUGAGGUGCAGUGGCUGAUGAAAAACAUAGUCAAGCACUGAUUCCGGCAUAACAUGACAAUAAGAUAGAAAAAUGACAAAACACUGCUCAAACAUCUGCUAAAUUCACUGUUAACUACUCAGAAAACCGUCAUAUUGGGUGUGGCCUAAUAUUUUGAAGAGGACACUUGAUUUACACCUUUCUGUUUGGGACUCCCAGCCUCCAAUGCUACUCAAGCAGAACUAAACACAACAGUGCACGUGCAAAGAAUCAGGACUGUUUAACUCAACAUGUGAAAACCUACCUAAUUAUAGCAGGGUAUACACAGACAAACUAAUCAAAGAGUAACACAGAACAGGUGGACACAAUCAGGUAACAAAGCGAGACAGAACUGGAACAGAAAACCAAAAAAAAAAUCAACCAUCACCAUAUGAACUAUGACGUGAAUGGGGAAACUGUGGUGGGAAAAAUAAUAUUCUGGAACUUGGGAGAGUCUCCUCAACCCCUGAGUUCAGCAAGUGAUGUCAAAUCAACAUGGCUGCUCACAGCAUGAACAGUAAACAAACUAUCACUUCUUAACUUUAAAUGAGUUAUGCUGAAUAUGCAGAUAUUUACUUUAGAUCAAUGGACAUACACACAUGCUUGCUUGCUAAAUCUAUAAUGUUCACUAUACAGUUUGCUGUUUCAAGGAGCUAAAUAUCCAUCACUCAUCACACUUGUUGCUAACAAAAGACAAACAAGAAGACGAACAAGAAGGUGUAGCUCAAAUGCAGGUAACAAACCAAUGACAGGACAGAGGCUGUGCAGAAAUGGAACAGAAAACCAAAACAAACUCAAACACGUGGUCUUCAUCGCCAUGGGAACUGUGAUGCAAAUGGGGAAAAUGUGAUGGGGAAAAAUUCCUGGUGACGUUUGUGCUGUAUAUUAUGGCCCACAAAACCAACAUCAACCUGAUGAAAAAACAAUCACAUGUUUAGGUUUAAUACUCUGUGUUAGUAACCAGAAAUGUGACCACACACUGAGCACCUGACCUCCACCCCAGCACCACGCCUGGACUGGACUGGAUUCUACCUCAGCUGUAAUGUGUUUUGCAUUAAAGCUUCUGCCAAAUGAGUACAUGUAAUUGCAUAUAGCGUGGACAAAAAAAAUCCUUCUUCAAACAACAAGCUAAAAUUGUUACAACAGUUGCUUGUAACUUUGCAUAGAGUGGAAAGGGCAAUGCUGCUAAAGGUAGUAGGGAACAUCAUGAAAAUGGAAAUGAAUUAAACAUGGGGCGUGCGCUUCAGCGCAGUAAUUAUGAUGUUUCCUUCAAGCUCAACUGAGCCACAGUCUCAGCACUGAUAGUGCAAGGUACAGGCAAUUUAAAUGAGACAAUCUGUGCAAAGGCCCCUCAGAGACACCAGCAAUCCACAAGGCAGUUGAUCUCGUUUCAACUAUGCAAAGGCUUUGCACUUUUGAAUUAUCCCAUAAUUGAAUUAUGUAGUAUGAAAAAUGAGUAUUGGGAUGCGUGUGCAUGCAUGUGGCUGAGAGCGGGAGAGAGGUCUGAGGUGGGAAAAAAUUUAAAACUAUGAUUCAUGCUGAGCACCAGAAUAUUUCCGUUAAUGGAAAUGUAAUGAAAAUGGCAGUGAAGCAUUAAAAACCCCAACCAGUGAGAGUAAAAAGUUACAAUCUGCAAAGAAUUUGUUUUGUAUUUUCACUGUUUUUAGUCUGACAAACAAACUUUUUAUAUCAACAUAUUACUGCUUACCAAUAUUUAGUGACUUACUUAAUAACUUUAUGAUUAUUGCUUAAGCAUUAGCUGUUGAAUAAAAAUCAUACAGUGUGAUUUUUCUAUAUCUUACGACCAUCUGUUGAUUAUUUACAAUACUACUAAAGUCUAAUAACCCGUGUUCUAUGGAAGGCUUUACAUGCAAGAAUUUAAAUUGGAAAAAACACUUAUUAAUUUUGGAAGGUGUCAUCAAACAUUAGCUGGAAAUUGUUUCAUUUCCUUAUUAUUAGAAAUAAUAAAGAAAAUUCCAAGUGCACAUCUUUAAAAAAGAUGCUUGAAGAGUUUUUUAAAAUUGCCUUACUGCAAAUAUAUUGAAACAACUUGUUUAUAACAUCACAUUAGUAUUGGUCAUUCAUUUAUUUAUUUUUUGCAUUUACUGACAUUUGCCAGCCUGUGUUUUGGACCAGACCACGCUAGAUAUUUCAACAGAAAUAGUACUAACAUUAAAAAGGUCUUCCACUCAACACAUUCAUUCAUUGGUCUUCAGAUCCGGAUCCAGAGCCAAUCCCAGCAUCCCUGGGCACGAGGUGGGUACACACCCUGGAUCCCAGGGCACCAUGCACACAUUUAUCACACUUAGUGAAUAAAUAAUUUAGCCUAGCCAAUCCACCUUCUAUCAUGUUUUUGAGAGGUGGGAGGAAACCACAGAAUCAAGAAAAAACCAUGCAGAUACAGGGAGAAUGCGUCUAAGUGUGCCCAAGAUGAGCACUUUUGCAGUUAUGGCGCAAAUACAGAGUCGGCUUUGGCCAAAAAAUCUAUCUUUUGUUAACCUUGGCUAAACAAAUCUGGAUGUUACAGUAACAAAAUGCCUGUCAUGGAAGACGCAAAUGAUUUUUCAGUAGCUGUAUGAAGAGCUGCUAAGUGGGAAUUCUGAUCUGUGAAAUGGAGAGAAAGGCAGAGCAAAGAGUACUGCCUGAAAAACAUUCUAACCAAUAUAACCUUUUGUUUAUCAAAUAAAUAAUGUUACAUCAGAGUGGCAGGCUGCACAGGUCAAACUCUGCUCUUGCAUGUGUGCUCUCCCAAGACCAAACUAAAGCAAGGCACUCACACUGCAGAGCCCUGCUAUAAUGAUGUGAAACAUGUCGCUGUAUUUGUUCCUAUAACUAUUUAAUUUGUGCUCCGGCCAUCUAUAUUACACAGAUGGAUGAACUUGAAAAGCAUCCAACCUUGUUGGCUGAUCUAACAAAGCAAGUGCUGAAUAAACUCUUGCAGUACUGAAUGAACAUUUCACUGGUGAAUUAUAGCAACCGUUCAUCCAAUAUAUUCUUCAGUGGGGUUACACAAACUUACUGAUGUGGUGUAGGAAACGGUGUGACUUACUGUAAUCUACAAAUGUAUAUGUUACAUACAGUAUGUAAAAUAUGUUAAUGUUUCUAGAAUAAUGACUCUUAAUAUGACACAUGUUUGUACGACGGAUGCUCUGUCUAACCUAAAGGCUAAAAAAAUAAAUUAGAAGUGUUGUUAAUUAACAAAAAAAGGGUUGCCAUUUAACACAGAUAUAAUGCUGUUAUUUAAGAAAGAGUAAAAAUUGAUAUAGUGAAGU